RNAcentral lists this ribosomal RNA (542 nucleotides) under Vanrija humicola. Its description in RNAcentral is "partial 28S ribosomal RNA". It matches the Rfam family "Eukaryotic large subunit ribosomal RNA", at positions 113 to 648 of the family's 3401-position model. The record is from RNAcentral. Lineage: Eukaryota; Fungi; Basidiomycota; Tremellomycetes; Trichosporonales; Trichosporonaceae.
UUUGUAAUCUGGCGUCUUUCAGGCGUCCGAGUUGUAAUCUAUAGAAGUGUUUUCCGUGCUGGACCAUGUCCAAGUCCCUUGGAACAGGGUAUCAAAGAGGGUGACAAUCCCGUACUUGACAUGACCACCAGUGCUCUGUGAUACACUUUCUACGAGUCGAGUUGUUUGGGAAUGCAGCUCAAAAUGGGUGGUAAAUUCCAUCUAAAGCUAAAUAUUGGCGAGAGACCGAUAGCGAACAAGUACCGUGAGGGAAAGAUGAAAAGCACUUUGGAAAGAGAGUUAAACAGUACGUGAAAUUGUUGAAAGGGAAACGAUUGAAGUCAGUCGUGUUCAUUGGACUCAGCCGGUUUUCGGUGUAUUUCCUUUGAACGGGUCAACAUCAGUUUUGUCCGGUGGAUAAAGGCAGGAAGAAAGUGGCUCCCUCGGGAGUGUUAUAGCUUUCUGUCACAUACACUGGAGGAGACUGAGGACUGCAGCUCGCCUUUUGGCCGGGGUUCGCCCACGUUCGAGCUUAGGAUGUUGACAUAAUGGCUUUAAACGAC